CACGGAGUUAGCCGGAGCUUAUUCUCCAGGUACUGUCAUUAUCAUCCCUGGUAAAAGAGCUUUACAACCCUAGGGCCUUCAUCACUCACGCGGCAUUGCUGGAUCAGGCUUUCGCCCAUUGUCCAAUAUUCCCCACUGCUGCCUCCCGUAGGAGUCUGGGCCGUGUCUCAGUCCCAGUGUGGCUGAUCAUCCUCUAAGACCAGCUAUGGAUCGUCGCCUUGGUAGGCCUUUACCCCACCAACUAGCUAAUCCAACGCGGGCCCAUCCUAAAGGCGAUAAAUCUUUGGUCCGAAGACAUUAUUCGGUAUUAGCACCCCCUUGGGGAGUUAUCCGAACCUAAAGGCAGGUUCCCACGCGUUACGCACCCGUGCGCCACUAGACCCGAAGGUCUCGUUCGACUUGCAUGUGUUAGGCAUGCCGCCAGCGUUCGUUCUGAGCCAGGAUCGAAACUCU
RNAcentral lists this ribosomal RNA (453 nucleotides) under uncultured Porphyrobacter sp. Its description in RNAcentral is "partial 16S ribosomal RNA". The record is from RNAcentral. Lineage: Bacteria; Pseudomonadati; Pseudomonadota; Alphaproteobacteria; Sphingomonadales; Erythrobacteraceae.